GCAGUGGAGGUUCAGUGAUAGAAUUCUCACCUUCCGUGCAGUAGAUCUGGGUUUGAGUCCCAGCCAGUGCA
Molecule: transfer RNA, 71 nt
Filed under: Loxodonta africana (African savanna elephant)
Lineage: Eukaryota; Metazoa; Chordata; Mammalia; Proboscidea; Elephantidae
Rfam family: tRNA
About the family: Transfer RNA (tRNA) molecules are approximately 80 nucleotides in length. Their secondary structure includes four short double-helical elements and three loops (D, anti-codon, and T loops).
Source: Rfam by way of RNAcentral